GAUUCGGGCAUGAUUGUUACCGUGCGGAACACCGCGGUGACGUUGCUGGUAGAUGGAUGGAAGUAGAAGAUCAUUGUGAUCAGUGAAAUGGUGAGGAUUAGGCAGGCC
RNAcentral lists this small RNA (108 nucleotides) under Sinorhizobium meliloti 2011. RNAcentral describes it as "putative ncRNA". The record is from RNAcentral. Lineage: Bacteria; Pseudomonadati; Pseudomonadota; Alphaproteobacteria; Hyphomicrobiales; Rhizobiaceae.